AUAAAUAUAAAGAAAUAUUAACUGAAUGCCUCCUGCACUCAAUUGACACGAUUUAAAAAUGUGUUUCCAAGCCCACCUCAACCCACUUUAACUUGUUUGAUAGUGUUUAUCACUGUCAUUAAGUAAAAAAGCUGUGACUUCCAUCCAAUUAGUAUCAAUAACUGCAUCUUCUGCAAUUUGCAGCCUAUACUUUCCAGUUGCAACCUUGUUGCUCAUCAACAGAACCAUAUUGUACAAUAAAACAAAUUUGCAAGCAUUUCAAACAGAUUCAAAGUGAUUGGCUAUCCUAGAAAACUCAGCAAACUAACCGAGGCAGGACUAUGUUCAUUCUUAGCUGAAGCUCCACUUACUGAAAAUUGGACAAGGUGUCUGCUCAUUACGAAGAAUUGAUAUCCAGUGCUUUAUCAAAGGAUGCGGUGGCACAAACACCUAAAAAAUAAAAAAUAAAAAACAUUCAAUACAAUGAUAUCGUUGUUACCUCAACCUAUAAAUAAAAUUCAAUUCGCUUAUCAAUUACUGACCAACAUUUUGUCUUCGGGCAUGGCUCUCCUCUCCGUCGUUUGGACCCUCACAGAAACACAUCUUCGUUUCCCACUAUUCACACCCAAAAUCUAUCACAUUCAUCAAAACACAUCAAAUAAACAUAAAAUUACGGUUUUAAUUUCAAAUACAGUUGUCAACGAUGUAUAUAUGCUGUUUACCUUGGAAUUGUUAUUGUUAGAGCAGAGAAGGGGAUUAGGUGUAGGAAGGCGUUGGGGAAGGAGUAGUGAGGUGGAAGAGAAUGGGGAGUUAAGGAGAGGAUAAUUAUAAAUGCGGAAAGCCAUUAAUUUAUAAGAUAAAAGGAGAAAAAAUGACAAGGAGAGUGAAUGACUCAGUUGUUGUUGAUAGGAUCUGACUGUAGAUUAUUUUUCGCGAGAAGAAGGUGCACGGAAACUACUGUGAGGUCGCCCGCAUGGGAAAUAAAGUUUCUUGAAAUAAUGAUCGUGAAGGCGAACUUCUUUCCAGUGUAAUACUAAAAGGCCCCUAUUUUUCUCUCAUUAUAAUGAGAACGAGUUUGAAGUAGUAAUUUUUUGAAAAAAUGUGUAGUUAGAAAUGAAGAAUAAGUUUUGGAUGUACGUGUAAUAUUAUAUUAUUGAAAAUUUUGUUGUUAAUAAAAAUGAAGAAAAAAUGAAUUAUAAUUUAAUGAGAACCAAACAAAUGCUUAGCUGCAGACAACCCUAGUAAAGAUAAAUAAUAUUACUCUCUGAUGAUCAUAUUUAAAGGGUAUUCGAGCCACAUUAUUUUGGUAAUAAUACAUUCUUGAAUAGUAUAUUGAUGGAAAAUAUGUAGUUAAAAAAUAAGGAAAUUUUUUUAUUUGUGUGUAAUAUUAUUUUAUUGAAAAAUGUGUGUUUGAAAUGAUGUCAAAUUACUAUUUAAAAAUUUUUUUUUUUUUGAAAUAAUGUGGUUCAAACAGGCUCUUAUACCCCAAUCCCAUAUGUAAAAUUUGUAUAUAAUUUUCUAAAAUAGUUGUUUCAAAUGUGAAUUCAUGAUUUUUUUUCCUUACUUUUUUUAAUAAUUUUCACAAAAUUUUUAAAUAUUAUUCUAAAAAAAUUUACAAAACACAUACUCUGAUUAUGGUAACUAUCGUUCAUCAAAUUCGUUUUGAGUACUUAAAUCUAAAUUUUAGCCGACGAAAAUACUAUAUUUAUGGGAAUCACUCCCAACUUGAUUAUUACUCCAGAAUAUAAGAGAAUAAAUGGAUAUGUGAAGGAUCACAGUACUCUGCAUGUGUCUCAUCAAAAUCAUCACAAAAUAUAUAAAAUAUUAUACAGUUCAAACCCUCAAAAAAAUAGAGGAAAAACUCGUCAUUUGUCCAUUAAAAUCAUCUAGACACUAACUAUCAAGCCAAUUCUCAUUCACCAUUGAGCGUCUGCAACUGCUACAAAUAUGGAGUAAUAGUUUUUUACGUGCUAAACACGUGUUGCCUUGUACAUACCAAAUUGCGGUCUAGAGUUAGUUGAAUCCCAUCUAUGGCUUGCUACCUAAAUCAUACCAUCAAUUAGGGAUGGCAAUCGGGCUCGCCGGUUCGGGUCACCCGUGGCUCGGCUCGGGACUCGGUAGACCCGAGCCUAAGCUCAGGCCGAGCCCCAUUUUGGGGACACGAGCUUUGCCCGAGCCGGCCGAUGAGUUCGCGGGCCUUUAAAAAAAAAAAAUUAAGGCAAAACUGCUGCCUUCAAGGCAGCAAAACUGCUGCCUUUUAAGGCAGCAGGAGGGAAGAAAAAAAAAAUUGGGGAGAAAACUAGCCUGCCCGGCUCGGCCCUUAAAAAGCCCGAGCGAGCCUUUUUUUUUUGCCGAGCUUUUGCUCGGCCUGGCUCGAGCCCGCAAAAAAGCUCGGUCAUUUUNNNNNNNNNNNNNNNNNNNNNNNNNNNNNNNNNNNNNNNNNNNNNNNNNNNNNNNNNNNNNNNNNNNNNNNNNNNNNNNNNNNNNNNNNNNNNNNNNNNNNNNNNNNNNNNNNNNNNNNNNNNNNNNNNNNNNNNNNNNNNNNNNNNNNNNNNNNNNNNNNNNNNNNNNNNNNNNNNNNNNNNNNNNNNNNNNNNNNNNNNNNNNNNNNNNNNAACCGGGCCGGGCCCGGAGCCGAAACUUUAGGCUCGCGAGCCGGCUCGGCCCGGCUCGUUUACAUCCCUACCAUCAAUCGAUGCUAAUCAACUAUAUUCAUGCACAACCAUCAAAUUAUUUUGUCCCAUGGUUGAAACCUUGCAUAGAAAAUUCUAUUUGUACAUAAUUAUUGCAUAUAAUGGUGUUCAUAAUGUAAUGUGACAAUCAUCCGGUUAUUGAUGUACAAGUGUGAGGUUUGAAUUAAAUGUUAGAUUCAGUGCCACGUGUAAUUAUGAACAUCAUUAUAUAGAUAAUUAAGUAUAUGUAGCAUUUCUCAUCUUGCAUUGCCUCGCACCUAAAAUCCGACAAGACUACAAGGACAAGGCAAGCCUAUGCCAUAACGUAUGUCCAAAUUAAAGAGCUGACAAUAACCGACAAACCUACGCAUAAGCAAGUAAUUUGCUCGAGAAAAAUGAAGAGGUGGAUUUAAGAGAUGUUUAUGACCAAAAAAGAAAUGAAAAUAACUAAACUUAUAGUUCAAGAAUCUUCGAAAUAACAUGUUUAUGAGAAAAUCCUUCUAACAUAUUCCCUCUAUAGUUCAUAUAUAUUGACAGAGAUUACUGUUGAAUAUUAUGAAAUUUAAACUUUAUAUAAUAGCCAAGAUUUUCAUGUCAAAUCACCAAGAAAAAUAAUUAAUGCGGAGCAUACCUUGAUCCAUUGAUUUGUAUCUCGGAUGAUGAAUCUCGAAUUAUAAUGUUUAAAUCUUAUCUUUCGAAUCUUUGAUCGAAUCCUUCUUCUUGAUUCUUGAAUGUAGAUUGCCCUUUUUUUAUUGUGAGUUUUUUGGAUCUUUCUCUUCAAUAUAUUUUUUCUAUAAUUCUUGGGUUGAUGUGAUGAGAUAAAUAAUGAAAAUUAUAUAUGAAUUGAGACCAUAACCCUAAAUAUGGUUUUCAUAUGUAUUUCGUCCAUCAUAAAAUAAAAAUUUAAAAGAAUCAUAUCUCUACAUAUAUAAUCUGACCCAAAUUUUAUUUAGAUGUCAUAAGCCCAAUUAGUCUUUAUACAUAAUUAAUUACAUAUGUCGGCCAACAUGACAAAUCAAUACUUUUCCCAACAAUUACUUGAUUAUAUAGUUUAAAAGUUGUAAAUUACAUGAAAUAUAUAAUUACAAUUAAUUAAUUAUUUUUAAUUACUUAUUUAUCAAGAUUAAAAUUCACACCAAUGACUUGAAUGAUUAUCUAGUUAUCCUAGUCUAUUAGGCAGUCUCCUUAAAACCUUAAUAAUUUAAAUGUAUUUGCACCCUGGGGCAUAGCCUAGUGGUGCAAAUGAUAGGAGUGAGGUUAUCUCACGCUUUGCUCGCAGCCGCAGUAUGGGGGUUCGAUUCUUGAGACAUGAAAUUGGACUCCUUGUAGGCGCAGUGUACAGCCAACUCUUGUUCCCUGGCUUGUUGGGCACAUCCUGCGAUUUACCUCCCUCACAAAGCUCUAGGGAUGGGGCAGUGGAGGCUCUCAAGGUCGGGGUUCAAUCUUUUUUUUUUUUUAUUUAAAUGUAUUUAUAUGAGCAUGUGGGCCAAAUGAGAUUUCACAGUGGAAGUAAAGAUCGCAGAUUAGAUAUUGGUUACGAAGUGGAGGACCCGGGAGAUAAGGGAAAGAAUAGAGAAAAAAUAAAAAUAAAAAGAGGUUUUCUUGGCUUUCAGCUUCCUGGUUUUUAAAAAACAUCAGAGCCUACAACGCUAACAAUUGUUGGCUUUAUUCAUUCAAGAAUCCUGUUGGGAGUUUCGAUAGCUCAAUUCAUACAAUCACAAUCGUCGAUUGAGUGAAAUGAUAGAAAUAGUAGGACUUGAAAAAUCCAAAAAUAAAGUUCUGAUCCUCCUCUCAACUAGAGGCUAACAACUCAAUCGAGCACUCAAGAUAGGUUGCUUACAGCUUACUAGGAUUUGGUACCAAGCUGAGGCAAGAGAAAUGGUUUACACUUUUAUAUGUCUCCCUUCUGAUUUAACAACUUUUGCUCUAUGCAGAGGCCAUAGCUUGAAUAGAUAUUGGUUACUACUUAGUACUAGUCUAUAUGCUUAGUACUAGUCCAUCAAGUUUUGCUACACGUAUAGAAAAAUUUUCAUAGAAUUCCACUCACCGCAAUGUCAUUGAUCCUUGUCAAAAAAAAAAAAGAAAAAUAAAUAAAUAAAUUUGCUGGUGCCUGUGAGUUAUUACUCAGGGAAUAACUCUAGUCCAUAUGCUAUUCUUAGGUUUUCUGGAUUUUUUAUUUCUUUAUUUAUCUUGACAUAUAUUCUAAUGUAAUAAUAUAUUUAUUUUUGCAUAUAAGACUAUAAAUUUUAAAUAAUGCUACUUGUACAUAAUGGAGCUACAAAAUGGAUUACAUACAAAUGAGUUGUCUAAAAAAGGAUGGGAAAGUGUUGUUGUUGUUGUUGGUUUUGUUUUUUUUUUUUUUUUUUUUUUUUUUUUUUUUUUUUUUUAAAAUUUUUUUUUCAAAUUUUUUCACAAAUNNNNNNNNNNNNNNNNNNNNNNNNNNNNNNNNNNNNNNNNNNNNNNNNNNNNNNNNNNNNNNNNNNNNNNNNNNNNNNNNNNNNNNNNNNNNNNNNNNNNNNNNNNNNNNNNNNNNNNNNNNNNNNNNNNNNNNNNNNNNNNNNNNNNNNNNNNNNNNNNNNNNNNNNNNNNNNNNNNNNNNNNNNNNNNNNNAAGGGGGGAAAGUUUUUUUUUUUUUUUUGUUUUUUUUUUUUUUUUUUUUUUUUUUUUUUUUUUUUUUUUUUUUUUAAGAAAUUCUAAUCCAAUCAUAUCCACAACUGUGUAUAUAAAACAUUAUAUAUAUGUAGCCCAACCGAUAUAUUUUACCCAAGUUUGGAUGCAAUUCAAAAUUCAAUGGUAUUACAAACAUACUAUUAUACAUUAAUAAUAUGUCAACUUGUAUAUGAUGAAUAUUUAUAUUAAUAAAAACCAUAAAAUAUUUCCAGUUGAAAACUACAUACGCAUUAGAAUUGAUAAUUGAGUUUCCUUUUUAUUCAAUCUAGUUAUUAUAUUAUUUCUAUCUUUAUAAUUUUAAUUCUAGGGCGAGGUAAUUAUAUGUAUUCAGUAGGCAUGACCCCUAUUCGAUUCUGUCUAAAAAAUCGAAUUAAAAUUUAAGUUAAAGUCAACCACACAUUUUCAAUAUUUAUUAAAAUUUACUAAAAAUUUAAUCUUUAUCUAAAAUUAACACUGAACAGGGGCAUAGUCCCGUAGAAUUUCCAUUGAAAUUUAAACAGUGCAAAGACUACAAUGUUAUGGUGUUUGUCUUGAUACAUUGAGCCCAUGUUUUGAUAAUGUUUUAUAAGAUGAUGAGUUGGUUAAAUUUCAUGAUUACAUAUUUGACGACUAACUUUUAUACAUUUUUCAAUUAUAUAUUUCCUGAUCCAUUGAAUAAAAUCAAAGAGUUCUUAUCUCAAAAAUGAUCUUUGAUCGGCAAUUUGACAACUCAACGAUCUCAAAUUAUUGCGUUCUCAAAGUUCUUUCACGUUUUGUUUUCAUCAUAGAAGGUAUUACGGGCUUGUUCGAUAGUGAUUUUGAAAAAUUGAUUUUUUGACCGUUAGAAAGAAAAGUAAAUCCUACAUGUGAGAGAAGAAAUAAAAAAAUGUCUGAAAUAGUGACAUAGCUGUCAAAAAAUUGAUUUUUUGGAAAGAAAAAUCCAUACCAAACAUGCACUAUAUCUUAGCACAAACGAGCAUAACUUCGCAUGGAAUAAAUGAAAAUUCACAGAAUAGUUUAAACUCCUCCAACAUCAAGAGAAACUUCACUCUUCUAAGGCAGCAUGACAAACAAACAUAGCAUUUCUGAUACGAAAUUACACACACGUGGAAAUCAUAGGGUGUUAGAACAUCAAUGCUUGCAAUAAAGCCAGAUCGGAAACCCCAAAUUUAUUUCGAGUUCAAAAUAUUGUAUAUAGAUGAUGACAAUAAGAUAUAUCUUCCAAUCCUUCCUGAAAAUGUAAAAUUAAACGGCAAGCUCAAAGUUCACCAUCCCAUAUAUCUUCAACGGUUCUGUAUGAGCCGAACUUUUCAUGGACAAAAAAGUUACCUGUAACCUGUCUUUCCUGCAAAGUAGAAAAACCAUUCCUUAAGAUACGUAGAAAGAAAAAGCCCGAGUUCUUUGUUUACUGUGUAAAAAUUGGUGUAGAUGUAGCAUCUGGACAAAAUUUUUAACAUCAGAAUCUUGAUUGUUGGUGAUUCUGCAUACAUGUUGGCAUGUUUGCCAAAUGAAAUUAUACUGGUUAGGAAAGGAAGAAAAAUAAUUAAAAUCUUAUCUAUUGUAGUGUCCAAUCAAGUUCAACAUUGCCGACCAAACAUGCCUCGUAAGUAUGAUUUAUUAGUUAUUUAGUUAUAAUACGAAUAUUCAAGGACAAAAACUGUAGGGGAUUCACGUGAUGAUGACGAAUCAAAAAAUUGCUAGGAAGCACUCUUUAUCUAAAAUCUAACUCCUCUCGGCAGUAUGUGCAAAAUAUAUUGUUGUGUUACUAACGACUGCCAGUUAGAAGAAAUAUACACUUAGAAAUCUCAAAGGGAUUUAAUAAAAAUAAAAAUAACUUACCUGAUCAAUUUCGGAGAAGUUGGCAAAUAAGUCAUCAGGUAUAGACCAAUCGAAAACAUCAAAGUUCUCUUUGAUCCUUGAUUCAUUUGUGCUUUUGGGAAGUACACUAUGACCCAUCUGCAAACCCCAUCGAAGAGCAACCUGAGCAGGACUUUUACCCAAUUUUUCUGCAAUAGAAACUACAACAGGAUGCUUGAGGACAUCACUCUUGUACAUCGCUGUUCCAGGUGAACCAAGUGGUGAAUAUCCCUUUUAAGAAAAUUAACAGGUUAAUUAGAAUUCAAAACAUAAAACCUUUCUCUGACAUAAACAUUUAAUGGAAAACCGAGCAAUUAUAAUUAUCGAAAACCACCAGAAAGAGAGAGACAACCAAAAGAAGUUUCCUCAUUCUUAAAGACAUGAACAAAAGGCAGCAACCCGAAUUAAGUAACUGAGUUUUGACAACUCACAGUGAGGUGAACUCCCUUUGAUUUACAGAAUUCUUGUAGUUUGGUCUGCUGCCACACCGGAUGGCACUCAACUUGGACAACAGACGGAGGAAUGCGAGCUAAAUCCAAUAGAUCACCCAGCUUUUUGGUAGAGACAUUGCAAAUGCCAAUAGCUCGGGCCUUACCAGAAUCAUAGAGUGCUUCCAUGACCUUCCAUGUGGUAGGUAUAUCCACUGGAACAAAGUCUUCUGGAUUCAUGCCAACAGCCCCCUUCCUCAACCGAGCAGGCCAAUGGAUCUUCACAAUUAGACAGAUCAAAUUCAUUAGCCCAUGAUAUAAUUUUUCAACAGUAAAGAUGCAAAAUAUCCCACCCAAAGAUAGGAGAGAGAGCUAAUCACGCCACUAUUACAUAUCAUUUCAACUUUGAAAGCCAGGUAAGCAGACCAAUAGUUAAAGCAGCUUUAAUGUUUUUAAAAUUUGACAUGGCAUCAAGGUCACCUCUAUUGAUCAAGCUGAUUUUGUGUUACUGUAGAUCUAAGAAUUCACUUGAUUCAGUUAUUUCCAUUCAUACACUGUCUUCAUAUAAGGCCAUCUUGCAUUAACUUUUAAACAGUCAAAAAUUCAAUAUCACGAAAAAUUACGUACAAGAUACAAAUCAAGAUAGUCAAGUUGCAGAUCUUCCAAUGUUUUAUCUAAUGCCACAGGUACAUCUUCUGGUGCAUGAUCAGUACACCUGCACAAGUUAAGAGAUCUGUUCUAGCUUGAAUGCUUAAAAUGUCAAUGAGUAAAGACCAGAUGUGAAAGAGAAGAGUAAUUGAAGCAAUUAAUAUAUAAUGUUCAAGCACCUCAAGACUAGCUUUGCAUCAAACCAAAAAGGAAAGUGAAGCAGCAAGUGCAAAGAAAGUAUUUUGUAUAUAUAUAACGCACACAAAUUACAUAACUGACAGUACCACUGCAUAAUGCACAUCCAUUAUGGUGGAAAACUGCCCCAUUUACAUUGGAAGAUGUUCUAGAUUCAAACUUCAAAAUUGAAGUAACUCACAUUGACAAGUUUCAUCAAUCAGCUUUUCACUUCUUGAAAAUAUUUGUGAACAUAAUUCAAUUACCAGAGUUUGGAGGUAAUAAAUAAAUCCUCCCUCUUCACAACUUCAUCAUCAAACAGCUUCUUUAAAACUAAACCUAUCUGCAACAAAGGAACAGAAGAUGAGUCUCACACACAUAUAGAUAGCCAUACUACAUGUAAUUUGGAGUCCCAUUUUCACCCCAAAUAUCCCUUUUCCCUUGAAACAAAAUGGGACGAAAGCCUCGUUAUCUCCAUGAUACUGUUGUGCAAAAACUUUCAGCUAUUAGAGACCUUUAUCACAUCAGUCUCCCAGUGAAGUAACCAAAUCACUACCCCAAAUGACUUACAUUUUUCUUUCAAGAGAAGAGAAAGCCGUAAAAACACAUACACAGCUUAUUAUUGCAUCCCUACAUAAAAUAAAAAGGGAUCUCCCGACUCUGUAAUGGCGAUGGACAGAAAAACAUACCUCAUUUUCAUUUCCAUAAGAUCGAGCACAGUCAAUAUGGCGGUAUCCAACCUGCAUAAAAGUACCAGAAAUUGAUUGACUGUAAGUUGUCAUACAAAUACAGAAAGACAUCCUCUCCAAUUCCCGUUCUUAUGUUAUGUUAUAUUUUUCUGUUCAAUCAAUCACUGAAAUUAGAAUGGAACCAAAUCCCAUUAACAUUUUUGAAAUUUAGGCUAAAAAUUUCUGAAUCUGCACAACUCUAAAUGAGCUAAUAAUCUCAUUAUACAUUCAGAAUCAUAAAAUAAUACAUCCGACAUUUCAAUAUGAGUAAAUACAUAAAUAACACACACAAUUGUACAUUUCCACAUACAAGUUCCAUUGAAGAUAAAUGUUACAACACACUAAGGGUGUGUUUGUCACCCAUUAUUUGGGAAGAAUGUAUUAUAGAAUAGUGAUUGAUGUUGAAAUAUGUGAUUAAAAAAGAAUGAAAAGUUUUUGAUUUACACAUAAUAUUAUUUUAAUGAAGAAUAUGUGGUUGAAAAUGAGUAAAAUAGAAAAAAGAAUGGGAGAGAAUGGAUGACAAACAGAGGCUAAGAUACAUAUAAGCAUAUACAAUGUGCAUAUGUAUGUAGAGAGAAUGGCGAUAGGCGACCUUGAUGGCUUUUUCAACCGCUUGACCGACGAUACCAGGCUCGGACUGCCAAGUGCCCAGGCCGACAGAGGGAAUUUUUGCUCUGGUGUUCAACUCAAACUCGAAGCAUGUAAUCUCCUUCGCCAUUAUCUACAUUCACAUUUUUUUAGAUAGAGAAAUUGAAAGGUUGAAUGCUGAAUAAAGGAUGCGGUGACACAAACACCUAAAAAAUUAAAAAUAUUCAAUCCAAUGAAGUUGUUAUUACCUCAACCAAUAAAUAACAUUCAAUUCAGCGAUCAACAAAUCAGUACAUUUUUAAUUAAAAUUGUACUGACCGACAUUUUGCCUUCUGGCAUGGCUCUCCUCUCCAUCGUUUGGACCCUCACAGAAACACAUUUUCGUUUCCCACUAUUCACACCCAAAAUCUAUCACAUACAUCAAAACAUGUCAACAAAUAAACAUAAAAUUAGGGUUUUAAUUUCAAAUACAGUUGUCAAAGAAAAGUAUAUCUGCUACUUACCGUGGAAUUGUUAUUAUUAGAGCAGAGGAGGUGAUUGGGUGUGGCCCAUGUGGGAAGGCGUCUGGGAGGGUACAGUGAGGCGGAAGAGAGUGGCGAGUUAAGGUCCAUAAGUAAAGGAUAAAUGUGGAAAGCCAUUAAUUUGUAAAUUAAAAGAAAAAAUUGAAAAGGAAAGUGAAUGAAUUCAGGUUCAGCAGACGGGGAAGCCCACCAGAGGCUACAGUGAGGUCGCCUGCACAGGAAAUAAAGACUUUGAUGUCCCAACAUUUUUAAAAUAUAUUUUCCCCUUUAUUCUUUUCAGCAACACAUUUUUUAAUAGACUAACAUCAUGCUCAAAUCCAAUUUUCAUUUUUUUUAACCACACAAUUUUCAUCAAUUUAUUAUUUUAAAAUGCAAUCUUCCAUAAAAAUUGGGCUCAAAUUAAGCAAAUGCUUUGACGUAUCCUUUAGAACAUUAUUGUUGGAUAAAAAAAAAAAAUGAAUAAUGCUCAAUUAUAGGCAACGACUUACAUAACAACUUAUUAUUUGAGACAUUAAUUUUUUUUAAUUAUGUUGCCUCCACUAACAAGCUAAAAUCUUAAAUAAUAUAUUGUGAUACUAUUGCAGCCCCUUUGCAUUAAUAAAUAAAUAAAAAUGAAUGAAUGAACUUGACUAUUACGUCAUAAUUAAUAUUUAUUUUAAUUUUUUUUAUUAUUAAAUCAUCAGCUCAAAUAAUGACACAUAUCUUUGAAUUAUAAUUUUAGGUCCUGUUUGUUUUUCAUUCUUUGGUAAAAAAAAAAUGAAAAAUAUAAUCGUUAUAUAUCACAUCAAGUCAUCAUAUUUGACUUCCUCUCUUGUGUGGGUCCCGUAAAAAUUAUAUUUUUCAUUCUCAUUCUUAUGAAAAUGAGUAUCAGGGCUUAAUUUUUUGUUCCUCUCUCUUGCUUUUUAGUUAAAUUAUUAUUAUUAUUAUUAUUUUCCUCUCAUUUAUAUCAAAAUAUUAUUCACUUAUAUGAAUUCACACACUUAAACUAAAAUUCAAAUUAAUUCAAACAGAUGAUGAGAAGUAGAAUGGAAGGUGUAGCAAAGAACUAUCGAAUUCUUGUUGGGAAUUUUAGAAAAAAAUAUUUGUAGUCAGAAGAAAAACAAAACAGGAGAAAAUAUAAAUUUAUGUAUCUAACUUCUCUUAAAAAUGGGAAGUAGUUAUUACUGUAGAAGGAAUAGUAAACAAAUCCCAAGUUACUAUACAAGAGAAAAAAUGGCGUCAUUUUUUUUUUUUUUAACUUUUCCAUUCUCCAUUUUCAUACGUUAUGGUCAUGCCUUUUCUAAUAUCUGGAGAUGCAAUAUCUACAUUAGUGUUGAAUCCUAUUCUUUCAUCCUAUCCCCAUUUUAACAGUUUCAAAAUUAUUUCAAUUUCAACACGCAAUCAUCAUUUCCAUUUCUCUUUCUCCUACCUACAAUCUUCAGUUUUUCUAUUUUUCACACAAAAAUCAGAGACUACAAGCAACCCAUUUUUCACACAAAAAAUCAAAGCCUACACAACAAUCAGUAUUCUCACGCAUUUUCUUGUGGUUAUUGGAGCGACAAUAGCCAAAGAAGUAGUUGAACACUGGAGGUGCAAAAUAGGAUUUCAUUUUUAUUACUUUUCUGAGGUGCUCUUCCUACAGUUUUGCUUCUUCUUCUUUCUUUUUUUAUUUUAUUUUAUUUCUCUUGCUUUAACCCUAAUCUCUCUCUCCCGAUGGUAGGAAAAAAUACAAACAAUUUGCAGAAAUUGAUACAUAUAUCGGUAAGUAUACCUCUCACGACUUCAAUUUCUUACUCUUAUGUAUGUUUCUUCUGGUUUUUAAGUUGUAUUGUUGAAUGAUCGAUUUUUCCCCAUUUUGUUUUCGGUCUUUUAAGAGAUCCAACCCAAAUCAAAGCAAAAAUCCUUUGGCAGGUGUUGCCUUAAAUAUAAGCUUCAGAUUUUGUAUAAUUUGGUUAUAAAUUGGGUUUUAGAUUGAGCUUGGUUUCUUUACAUAUUAUGAUUAAAAUGUGCUUCAAAAGGGUGAUAUUUUGAAGUUAUCUUGAAAUCUUCAUACUCCUCUUUUUGUUUAUGGUUGUUCCAUUUCAUUCAACCUGUAUUUUUUGUGUUUGAUCUUUUUCUCUUUAUCUUUGUUCCAAGGUUAACGAAACCUCCCCAAAAAAGUGGAAAUUUUGCCCAGAAAUUGGUGAUUGACUCUCAGUUUGUAACUCUAAUUUUUGUUGACGGUGGCCCCCUUGGUAAGCCUCGCUUGUCAUUCGCUAAUGGGGUUUGGAUAUAGAGUCUCAGCUUGAAGCCCUGUUUUAAAGAAAUUGUAGAUAAAGUUUAUAAGGCAGCUUCUAAUUCUGUUGAUUUUCAAACUGAGGUUAGUUUAAUUUCUAUUUUCAAUUAUAAAACUCAUUAACUUGUUUAUCGUUGAUCAAGGUUUGAAUGUUUCCUUGUAAAUUUUUUGCUUAUUAUUGGUGUCAAGAGGUGGUUUGUGUGCUUUCAAAUUUCAUUUUUUUUAAUCGAGACUCUAUUGUGUAUGUUUCUGAAUUCAAUUUGAUGGCUUUGACACAAUUAAUAUGAUUACUUUUGGGCAAAAUAGGCAACGAAAUUUUCAAAACUAAUUUCAAAAAUUAUUACAAGUGGUCCAUUUCAUCCAUUUUUAUUAGUUUGGUUAAUGGGAAAGCUAUUUCUUCCAAUAGGAUUGUUGAACUUAAAAUUUAUUGCAAUUGGUUGUUUUAUCCAUUUUUUUUUAAUUUUGUUAAGGGAAAGCUAGAGUGGAUGUCCAGUAUUACCAAUGAAAAAUGAAUUUAGUUCAAUUAGUUAAACUACUUUUGCUCGUUUCUAUAAAUUGUUUGUCAACACUCUUUUUAUUUACACAUUUUGAGGAACCACUCAUUUCUAUCCAUUUGUAAUUUGAACUGUUUAAAAACACUCCCAAACACGUUAUUAUGUAAAUAAACACAAGCAAGUUUAGCCAGAGGAAUUUGAGCUUGAAUUAAAUAUAGAUUUUGGAAUUCCAUUGACAAACUUGUUUGGUCCGAGUCAGUAUUUCUCAGAGAACGAUUUGUUCAUUGUAUGAAUUUUCCAAGUUUCAAUGGAAUUGAGUUUGAUCUUGGCUAUUCAACAAAUCUUGGUUAUUAAGUUGCAAUUAACUUGAACUUAAUGUUAAAUAUCUUCUCUGAUGAUGAAUAAAAAUGGUUCGACUUCUUCUUAAAGCAAAAAAAUUGACUUCUCUGAUGACACGCAAAAACAAAAAAUUCGACUUCUCUGAUGAAAUUACUGGGGUACUGCUAUUCAUCGGGCACGUUCUUAAUCAUCUUCUUGGCUAAUCAAAUGUACUGAACUAGACUAUUACGUAUACAUAGUCUUAUACGGUUGAUUGAGGUUUGUAUUUUUCUAUUUCCGAAAGCUUCGACUAGCUGUGCUUAUCGUACUGUAUUUGUUGCCUGUCAUCCGGUUUCUCUUGUUUUUGUAAAGGUGGUUCCAUGCAUACACUUGACUGUUAUGUGCUCUCUAUUAUCUUUAUAUGAACGUUUUCUGAGACUAAUCAACAUGUUUCUUUUCAACUUAAAACUGGAACAUUGAUUGCUAAAUGCCCUUUACAUUGAUGUGAAGUCUGGACUUAAUAAUGCUUUGGCUUUCACAUCUGUUGAGGAAUUCAAUAAAGUAACACUAUAUGUUUUAGUUCAAAAAGUGUUGGGAGAGUAUAAAUUUUUUGCUCCAUUGGAAGGGCCUUCAUUUCACUAUGCUAACAAAAUUGAGUUAAUCACUUGCUUUCUCUACUAUACAUGGCAUAGAUUACUUUUAUGAUGAGAAUUAAAUUAGAAACGCCCAUAUUGAUAGUAGAAUGAGCGCUUAAAUUAUAUAUCACAUACAUUAGACUUUUUAAAUGUGUUUAAACUUUAGUAAUUUAUUGAAGCACCAAAUUUACAGCCACAAAUAAGCAUAUAGUGUGAAAACUCAUAUCUAAGAUCGUAUCAAAGUUGCCCUCCAAAUCUGUGCUUCAUUGUAUGUUAGUUAGCAAAUCAUAAGACGAGGUAUUUUUAAACUGUUAAUUACUGAUGUAUCUUCUAUCUUUACCUCCCCUUUUUGGGAUUUUUUUAUGGUCAAUGUUGCUAAUGAAAUGUUAUUCAUUUGCAUUGCAGAUUUUGUUAGUUUCUUUCGGUGAGGCCAUAUUUAUUUUAGGUUUAAUAGACUUUUAGGUUCAUACUCAUUUUCCUAAUUCUGUAGCCUCGAUUUGACUAUGUUUAUAGUGGUAAUUGGGAAAUAAGUUGAAGAAAAAAUGUUUUUUCUCUGUAUUCCUAUUGUGGUUGACAAUUUCAAUUGUUUACUGGUCAGGAAUUACUAUUUGAAUAAGGGUAAUUAUAAAUAUAUAUUUUAUCAUUUACUAUUGUGUUGUCUUUGGAGUUUAUUUGACUAAAAGGUAUUGAAAAUGGUUCCUUUGUGAAGGCUUAAUGUUAGUUAAAUUGGUCGGACCUUGUGGACAAUAAUUUUAUUUUUGAUUAUAUGCUGGUUUAUGGACUCAAUGGGUCAUUUUGUCUCUAUGUUGUCCACCAUUUCGGUGUCACCAGGCAAGAGCGAGACAAGGCUGUCGUAAGUAUUAUUUAUUUACUUCUUAUCAAAUCAAUUUUUAUUUAGCUAUUUUUGGAUUGAAACAAGUUAGUAGCCUAUUUUAGAUUGUCAAGUAAAACUUUAUGACAAAAACAUGGGUUAUAUCCUAAUCAUUAAACUUAAUGAAUUUUAUCCUUAUUAAUAGGAUACAGAGAAUGAUUUACCUCUGGCCUUGGAGAAAGAGGGAGCUUGAUAGCAUUUGUAAGAAGCAAGUAGUUAAAAUUGAGCAUAACCAACUGGUAAUAGAAUAUUUUCUUGUCGUAAAUUGUUUGAACUAUAACUGUGUUUUAAAUUGGUCUAACAUGUAAAUUUGGUCUAACAUUUCUAACUUCUUAUAAAAAUGGUAGUGAGGGACUACUGUAGAUGCAAUAGUAAAUUAGUUCAAUUUUACUGUUCUUGAUGUCAUUUUUCAUUUUCGCAUUUUCUGAAGAAUUUUGUUUAUGGUGAUCUGACAAAUAUUUUUCCCACACGCAUCGUGUCAUCACCAUUAAAAAAAUAAUUUUAAUAUAUAUAAACUGUAAUGAGGAAAAAAAAACUCCGCAUAGUGCCUAGAGUUGGAGACUACCUCUCCGCACUGCGGAGUGAUCUCCAACUCUCCGCAUAGUGCGGAGAGAUGGCUCCACACUCCGCAUAGUGCUCAAAGAUUUUCUUUCUUUUUUUUUUUUUUGGUAAUUUUUUCUUCAUUUUUUUUCUCCACUCUCUCUCUCGCUCUCCCUACUUUUCUUCAUUUUUUUUCUCCACUCUCUCUCUCUCUUUCCCUACUUUUUUUUUUUUUUUCCACUCUCUCUCUCUCUUUCCCUACUUUUUUUUUUUUUUUCCACUCUCUCUCUCUCUUUCCCUACUUUUUUUUUUUUUUUCCACUCUCUCUCUCUCUUUCCCUACUUUUUUUUUUUUUUUCCACUCUCUCUCUCUCUUUCCCUACUUUUUUUUUUUUUUUCCACUCUCUCUCUCUCUUUCCCUACUUUUUUUUUUUUUUUUUUUUUUUGGUAAUUUUUUCUUCAUUUUUUUUCUCCACUCUCUCUCUCGCUCUCCCUACUUUUCUUCAUUUUUAGGCAAUAUCUAUUUUUCCUUACUUCUUCGACAUAGUAUAUAUAAACUGUCAUGAGCACAAAAAAAAAACUCUUCACACAGUGCGGAGAGUUGGUCUCUAACACUCCGCACAGUGCAAGAGAUUUUCUUUCUCUUUUCUCGAUAAAUUUUUUUUCUUUUUUUUUUCACUCUCUCUCGCUCUCCCUACUUUUCUCUAUUUUUUGGGCAAUAUUUAUUUUUCUCUACUUCUUCAACAUAGUAUAUGUAAAUUGCCAUGAGCAAAAAUAAAAACGACAAUGAGGUAAAGAAUUUUGUUUAUGAAUGUUCUUCCACACGCAUCGUGCGAUCACCAUUAAAAAAAUAAAUUUAAUAUAUAUAAACUUUCAUAAGCAAAUAAAUAAAUACUCUUCACACUGUGGGGAGAUCAUCUCUCCACCUCUCCGCAUAGUACGGAGAGUGCGGAGCCAUUUUUCCAUCACUCCGCACAGUGUGGAGAGUUGGAGCGCACUCUCCACAUAGUGCGGAGAGAUUUUAUUUUUUUCAGUAAUUUUUUUUCAUACUCUCUCUCGCUUUCCCCACUUUUCUCCAUUUCUUUAGCCAAUACUAUUAAUAUAAACUGCUAUGAGCAGGAAAAAAAGCUCUCUACACUGUACAGAGAGAUGCGGAGAGAUUUUUUUUUAUCGGUAAUUUUUUUUCUUCUUUUUUCUUUUUUUUCCCACUCUCUCUCUCUCUCUUUCCCUACAUUUCUUCAUUUCUUUACACAAUAUCUAUUUUUCUUUACUUCUUGACGCAACAUCUAUUUUUUCUACCCGUUUACAUAACAUCCAUUUAUCUUUCUUUUCUCCUCCAAUUUUCAACCCAUUUCUUUUUCUCUCAAACUCCUCUCUCUCACCCAAAUUGUAAAUUUUUUGCUCAAUUCAUAUUUUAUCUCUCAAAAUGCCAUGUAUUGAUAGUUUUACUAUACUUCAGGUGUCUAUGGCAGAUGAAGUAGUGGAUCUUCGAUUUCUUAGAUCCAAGAAAAGGUUUUGACCUAAUUUUUUUUUAAAACUUUUACGGUUUCAUGGUAGAAAAUGCCUUUUGUUGGAUCUUUAGUUUUCAUUGAUUAUUAUGUAAUUAAAAUUUGGAAAUUUUAUCGUGCUCUUUUUACAUUUGUCGUAAUAAAUUUAAUAAAUUUCCUAAAUGUUAAACUUGAGUUUUUGGCAUCUUACAGUUUCGUGGUUGCUAGAUGUAUAUUCCUUUACUAAUGUAAUUUUUCUGUUUUUAAUGAUAGAUUUCUUAUAUACUUUGACUUUUCUUUUCAUUUUUCUGCUAUUUUUUAAUCUUUCUUAUCCUACCUCCACACCUCUUCUUCUAAUCUUUUGUUUUCAUUUUUUUUUUUUUUUGGUACUUUCACCUACAAGAUUUUCUACUUUUGUUUAUCCAAUGUUACAUGUGGUCCUUCACUUGGAAGACAAGAUAUUUUCACUCUUGAGAAUUUAUUUUUACAGAUAAAUGGAUGAAUAGUUUUGCUGAAAGACCUUUCACAUCACAUGCCUUAGAUUUUUGAGUUGUAAAAAUAUAUUUUUUAAAUUGCAUUUUAUUAAUCAUCUGCAAUGCCUUUAAGUUUCUUUGUUAUGGGUGAAUAUCAAGUUUUUCAUCCAUAUAACUGCGGAGUACUUGUUUAUUUUCUGGACUGACUAUAUCCUUUAUGAGGAAUAUGGAAAAGUUGCAUCAAUACGGUUAAAAUUUUUUGCUUCCCAAGGCAAGCAUGCUGAACAAUUAUCGGUUAAUUAAAUUUACAUUGCUAUUUUGAUAUCAUGUAUUAGCAAGAAUGAAUUACUGCAGUUAGUAUAUAGAAGAUGAAAGUUAUUUGAUUUUUUGUUUCAAAGUACCUUAUUAUUUCAUUGAAUGACUAUUGAUAGCAAUUUUUUCAAUUAAAAGUAUAAAGAAGUGAACAAAAAAGUGAGUAAAUGGUAUACUAAAUGAAGUAAACUUGAUAUUUAAUGCUUCGCAAAGUGGAUGCUUCUAUUUCAUUUCUUGUCCACGUGCAUUAUGUUUUUCAUUUAAUUCAAUUAUUAUAAGAAUUCCUUUCUCAGGGAGAUUCAAUAGGUUAAUGUGUGUCUUUACAAUAUUUUACUAUGGAUGAGUGACAUAACAUAAUUGCCUUCUAAAAUUACCUUUUCAUUGUCGAAUAUGAUGUCAGUGUUGAAUAUGUUGUUGCAAUAACUGAGUAAAAAGUUCCAACAUCCGCAUUUGUUCAACUCUUUUACAAACAUAUCUCAUACUCCCAUGCAACUAACUUGCAAUUGAAAACUAAUCUAUUAAAAGGUUUUUUCAUAUAUUCUUGGAUUCAUCCCCAAGCAACUAACUUACAAUUAAGCAAAAAUUAUAUUAGACCACUUGUUUCAUUUUCAAGUUUUGUUGGUUGUGAUGAUUUCUUGCAAGCUGUAUUUUUGAUCGAUUGAGUUCGGCCUUUUCAUUGAUUUUGCUAAAAAUCAUUGGACUAAUCAGUGCUCAACUGGAAUUAUAUUUAUAUAAUCUAUAUACAAUUGAUGAGUCAUUGUUUAGAAUUUCUUUUGAGAUGCAUCCGAUGAAAGUUUAAUAGAAAAAAUGGGUCCCAUUGUUUAGAAAGUUGAUGAAUGGCAAAGGAUAGAUUAUUGAAUUGAAUAGAACAAUUUAUGCAUGCCUCCAAUAUUUUCCUUAACUUAGUGCAAGUGUUUUUUUGUCAACAUCUUAAGAAUUCCAUACUACUCAAUUAAGAAAUAAUGACAUUACUAAUACAUUCAGCUUUUCUCACACAUUUGUCUAAAUUAAUCAAACACAUAUACUAGAUAGUUUUUAAUUUUUGGUUUAGAAGAUAGUAAUUUUGAGAUAGUAUAAGCAUUCUUCACUUUAGGUUUAUUUAACUAACCGCAACAUAAGUCUAUGCAUAGGGAUUUUUAAGAUAGAGCAUUGGCGAAGUAAUAAUAUGCUUCUAAAACUCUUGAAUAAUGAAAUAAAUCUUAAACAUUUUUUUUAACAUCUACAAUUUUUACACUAAUAAAAACACAAUAAAUACAACAUCCGUACAACGCACAUAACAAAGACUAGUAGUUUGUAAAAAUCGCUACAUUGACGUAAGUCAACUACAAAAUGUCCAUUUGCAAACUCUCUGUUUACCACUCUCUAUCCGACACAAUAUACAUUAUUAGAAAUAGAAAUUUUAUAUAAAUUUCAUUCCAAGUUUUAUGAUAAAUCAAUUUUCUGAAUUUUUGUUUAACUACGAGUCACCAUAUCAUUCAAAUAAAAUAAUCCUAAUUUUCCCUGUUUGAUUUUCAUUACAUUACAUUACAUUCUAUUUUUCUCUCUCCUAUUUUCAAUCACACAAUCUUCCAUAAAAUAAUAUUACACGUAAAUCGAAAAUUUUUCUUUCUUUUUCAACCACUCAUUUUUCAAAAAACACUAUUCUAUACAUUAAAUUUUCCCCGUAAUGGGGGCCAAACAGGGGCUAAUUCUUUUUCUGUGCAAGGACAUUUUAGGUAAAUCAAUCUAAUAAGAUUGAACUUAUGAAAUUGAUGAAAGAAUAAAUGUGAAGAAUGUUUUAAAUGGUCAUAAAGCUUAUAUGCUCAUCAUCAUCUACCAUAAUCAAAAUACCAUGAUUGUACUUCAUGGGCACUAUAUCGUAGCACACAGGAUCAAUCCUAAGGAUAACUCAGUGAUCAGAUCUUGGGUUUGCUCCUCAAUGAAUACUAGUUCGAGUCCCCUCAAGGUCAAUGAGGUAAGUACCCAACUAUAAACUUUAAGGCCCCGUGAAAUUAGUCGAAAUGCGCGUAAACUAACCCGGACACCCAUGGUCAUAAAAAAAAUAAAAAUAAACAUAUAUAUAUAUAUAUAUGACUUUGGCACCAUAGAAUGAAUGAAAUUUCUCAAAAUAGUUCAAACUUUAAACUCCUUCAGCAUCAGGACAAACUUCAAACUUUCGAUGGAAGCAUGAUUAACAGGAAACAUUUUUUCCAGUAUGAAAUUACACACAUUAACUAGAAAUCAUAAGUUACCAGAACAUCUAUGCUUGCAAAGCCAGCUCAAAUGUCACCAUCCCAUAUAUCUUCGACGGUUCUGUAUGAGCCGAACUUCUCGUGGACAAAAAAAUUACCUGUAACUUGUCUUUCCUGCCAGCAUAGAAAAACGCAUUUCUUACGAGCUGUGGAAAGAAAAUGCCAAAGUUCUUAAAAUCAAAUUUUGUUCGCUGUGUAAAAAACGGUGUAGAUGUGAAGCAACUUGGCAAAAAUUUUAACAUCAAAAUCUUUAUUGUUGGUGAUGCUGCAUGCAUGUAGGCAUGUAUGGGAAAUGAAUUAAAUCUUAUCUAUUAAUGUCCAGUUUGAUCUAAUACUGCCUACGAAACAUGCCUCACAAGUAUGACCUAUAAGUUGUAGUACUAAUAUUUAAUGACAACAACUGUAUGGGAUUCACAUGAUGGGGACGAAUCAAAAAAUUGCUAGUGAGUACUAUUCAUCUAAUAUCUAACUCUUCUCAGCUGUAUUCACAAAAUAGAUUGUUGCACUACUCAGAACUUCCCUCGAGAAGAAAUACACCCAUAAAAUCUCAAAGGGAUUUAAUGUAAUGAAAUGGAAAUAACUUGCCUGAUCAAUUUUGGAGAACUUGGCAAACAAGUCAUCAGGUAUAGACCAAUCAAAAACAUCAAAGUUCUCUUUGAUCCUUGAUUCAUUUGUGCUCUUGGGAAGUACACUAUGACCCAUCUGCAAACCCCAUCGAAGAGCAACCUGAGCAGGAGUUUUACCCAAUUUUUCUGCGGUAGUGACUAUAACAGGAUGCUUGAGAACAUUGGUCUUGUACAUCACCGUUCCAGGCGAACCAAGUGGUGAAUAUCCCUUUUAAGAAAAUUAACACGUUGAUUAAAAUGCAAAAAAAAUCAAAGGUAAAAACCGUUCUCAGAUUUAAACUUUUAAUGGUGAGCCAAGCAAUUAUGAUUAUCAAAUUGAAAUAUAACUACCCCCACCACCACAAAGAGAGAGAAGACCAAAAGAAGUUUCCUCAUUCUUAGAGACAUGAACCAAAGGAUCAUUGUGUAAUGUUAAGUAACCGAGUUUUGCCAACUCACAGAGAGGUGAACUCCCUUUGAUUUACAGAAUUCUCGUAGUUUGGUCUGCUGCCACACCGGAUGGCACUCAACUUGGACGACAGCCGGAGGAAUGCGAGCUACAUCCAAUAGAUCACCAAGCUUUUUGGUGGAUAUAUUGCAAAUUCCAAUAGCUCGGGCCUUACUAGAGUCGUAGAGUGCUUCCAUGGCCUUCCAUGUGGUAGGUAUAUCAACUGGAACAAAGUCUUCUGGAUUAAUGCCAACAGCCCCCUUCCUCAACCGGGCAGGCCAAUGGAUCUUCACAAUUAGACAGGUCCAUUCAUUAGCCCAUGAUAUAAUUUUUCCAACAGUAAAGAUGCAAAAUAUCCCUCUCAAAGAAAAGAAAAGAAAGAUGUCUAUGGAUCAAGCUGAUUCUGUGUUAUUCUAGAUCUACGAAUUCAUGCAUACUGUCUUCUUAUAAGGUCAUCUUGCGUUAACUUUUAAAUUGUCAAAAUUUUAAUAAAAGGUUAAUAUCACGAAAAUUUACGUACAAG
RNAcentral lists this long non-coding RNA (21434 nucleotides) under Olea europaea (common olive). RNAcentral describes it as "long non-coding RNA (OEUR_LNC000789)". Lineage: Eukaryota; Viridiplantae; Streptophyta; Magnoliopsida; Lamiales; Oleaceae. The record is from RNAcentral.